CAGGCCUAACACAUGCAAGUCGAACGGGCACCUUCGGGUGUCAGUGGCAGACGGGUGAGUAACACGUGGGAACGUACCCUUCGGUUCGGAACAACUCAGGGAAACUUGAGCUAAUACCGGAUACGCCCUUACGGGGAAAGAUUUAUUGCCGAAGGAUCGGCCCGCGUCUGAUUAGCUUGUUGGUGAGGUAACGGCUCACCAAGGCGACGAUCAGUAGCUGGUCUGAGAGGAUGAUCAGCCACACUGGGACUGAGACACGGCCCAGACUCCUACGGGAGGCAGCAGUGGGGAAUAUUGGACAAUGGGCGAAAGCCUGAUCCAGCCAUGCCGCGUGAGUGAUGAAGGCCUUAGGGUUGUAAAGCUCUCUUAUCCGGGAAGAUAAUGACUGUACCGGAAGAAUAAGCCCCGGCUAACUUCGUGCCAGCAGCCGCGGUAAU
Molecule: ribosomal RNA, 437 nt
Filed under: uncultured bacterium
Lineage: Bacteria
Description: bacterial SSU rRNA
Rfam family: Bacterial small subunit ribosomal RNA
Source: RNAcentral